UAAAAUGCAAAAUCACAAUCAAUUGAAAAUUUCAAUGUGAAAUUCCAUUAAAUUCUCCACAAGAUUUAUAUUCGAGAAGAUGCGGCCCGAAAUUCGUUAACCCUAAUAGUAUGAAUUUAGCUUCAAGAAUUGGUUAGUCUUGUUUUCAUGAAUUUAGUUUUUUUCCGUCUAUGGUUUUCCGUCUUUGGACUUUUUUUUGGCUCAUGCAGGCCCGAAUACAUUUAUUUUGUUAUUAUUUUUUUUUUUACUAAUGUUUUCUAGUGUAAAUGGAAUAUAGCAUUUCACCAAUUAUUUUUUUCGGAUUUAGUGAACUUUAUAUGCUUCAAUAUUUUCUAGGAUACGAAAUUUU
RNAcentral lists this long non-coding RNA (349 nucleotides) under Olea europaea (common olive). Its description in RNAcentral is "long non-coding RNA (OEUR_LNC014797)". Lineage: Eukaryota; Viridiplantae; Streptophyta; Magnoliopsida; Lamiales; Oleaceae. The record is from RNAcentral.